This 484-nucleotide ribosomal RNA is filed under the name uncultured bacterium. RNAcentral's name for it is "partial 16S ribosomal RNA". It matches the Rfam family "Bacterial small subunit ribosomal RNA", at positions 30 to 507 of the family's 1533-position model. The record is from RNAcentral.
AUUGAACGCUGGCGGAAUGCUUUACACAUGCAAGUCGAACGGCAGCACGGGGGCAACCCUGGUGGCGAGUGGCGAAUGGGUGAGUAAUACAUCGGAACGUGCCCGGUCGUGGGGGAUAACGUAGCGAAAGUUACGCUAAUACCGCAUACGAUCUGAGGAUGAAAGCGGGGGACCUUCGGGCCUCGCGCGAUCGGAGCGGCCGAUGUCAGAUUAGGUAGUUGGUGGGGUAAAGGCCUACCAAGCCGACGAUCUGUAGCUGGUCUGAGAGGACGACCAGCCACACUGGGACUGAGACACGGCCCAGACUCCUACGGGAGGCAGCAGUGGGGAAUUUUGGACAAUGGGCGCAAGCCUGAUCCAGCCAUUCCGCGUGCAGGACGAAGGCCUUCGGGUUGUAAACUGCUUUUGUAUGGAACGAAAAGGCUCUGGCUAAUACCUGGGGCUCAUGACGGUACCGUAAGAAUAAGCACCGGCUAACUACGUG